GUGAGGAAUAUUGCGCAAUGGAGGCAACUCUGACGCAGCCAUGCCGCGUGCAGGAAGAAGGCGCUACGCGUUGUAAACUGCUUUUAACCGGGAAGAAACCCCAGGACGUGUCCUGGGUUGACGGUACCGGAGGAAUAAGCACCGGCUAACUUCGUGCCAGCAGCCGCGGUACUACGAAGGGUGCAAGCGUUAUCCGGAUUCAUUGGGUUUAAAGGGUGCGUAGGCGGAGCGUUAAGUCAGUGGUGAAAUCCUGCAGCUUAACUGUAGACUUGCCAUUGAUACUGGCGCUCUUGAGUGCGCUUGAAGUGGGCGGAAUGUGCCGUGUAGCGGUGAAAUGCUUAGAUAUGGCACAGAACACCAAUUGCGAAGGCAGCUCACUAAGGCGAUACUGACGCUGAGGCACGAAAGCGUGGGGAUCGAACAGGAUUAGAAACCCUGGUAGUCC
RNAcentral lists this ribosomal RNA (445 nucleotides) under uncultured bacterium. RNAcentral's name for it is "partial 16S ribosomal RNA". It matches the Rfam family "Bacterial small subunit ribosomal RNA", at positions 354 to 796 of the family's 1533-position model. The record is from RNAcentral.